UGCUUCUCUUGAGAGCGGCGGACGGGUGAGUAAUGCCUAGGAAUCUGCCUGGUAGUGGGGGAUAACGUUCGGAAACGGACGCUAAUACCGCAUACGUCCUACGGGAGAAAGCAGGGGACCUUCGGGCCUUGCGCUAUCAGAUGAGCCUAGGUCGGAUUAGCUAGUUGGUGGGGUAAUGGCUCACCAAGGCGACGAUCCGUAACUGGUCUGAGAGGAUGAUCAGUCACACUGGAACUGAGACACGGUCCAGACUCCUACGGGAGGCAGCAGUGGGGAAUAUUGGACAAUGGGCGAAAGCCUGAUCCAGCCAUGCCGCGUGUGUGAAGAAGGUCUUCGGAUUGUAAAGCACUUUAAGUUGGGAGGAA
RNAcentral lists this ribosomal RNA (365 nucleotides) under uncultured bacterium. RNAcentral describes it as "bacterial SSU rRNA". It matches the Rfam family "Bacterial small subunit ribosomal RNA", at positions 81 to 449 of the family's 1533-position model. The record is from RNAcentral.